UACAGAGGGUGCAAGCGUUGUUCGGAAUUAUUGGGCGUAAAGCGCGUGUAGGCGGCGUGGCAAGUCGGGUGUGAAAGCCCUCAGCUCAACUGAGGAAGUGCGCCCGAAACUGCUGUGCUUGAGUGCCGGAGAGGGUGGCGGAAUUCCCCAAGUAGAGGUGAAAUUCGUAGAUAUGGGGAGGAACACCGGUGGGCGAAGGCGGCCGCC
RNAcentral lists this ribosomal RNA (207 nucleotides) under uncultured bacterium. RNAcentral describes it as "partial 16S ribosomal RNA". It matches the Rfam family "Bacterial small subunit ribosomal RNA", at positions 524 to 729 of the family's 1533-position model. The record is from RNAcentral.